Molecule: long non-coding RNA, 525 nt
Organism: Nyctereutes procyonoides (raccoon dog)
Lineage: Eukaryota; Metazoa; Chordata; Mammalia; Carnivora; Canidae
Exons: 2
Source: RefSeq, a predicted model, not a curated record
UUGGCAUAAAACAUGUUGACAAGAUUUCGUGUAUAUUCAACCACAGUUAAUCCUUUGUCUGUUUUCAGAUUUAGUUCAUCAUUGACAUUGGCCUUUCUGUGCUUCAACUAUCCAUUUGAAUCUCACUACCCAUUUGGCUUUCCUCAUGUGCAAGAGAGAGAGCACAAGCAGGGAGAACAGCAGAGGGAUAGGGAGAAGCAGGUUCCAGGCACUGCAGGGACUCGAUCCCAGCACAUCAGAAUCACGACCUGAGCUGAAGGCAGAUGCUUAACCGACUGAGCCACCCAGGUGCUCCUACAAUUUCAUGUAAAUGGAAUCAGUAUGUAUUCUUUUGUGCCUGGAUUUUUUUUUCACUCAGCAUGUUUUUGGGAUUCAUCUACAUUGUGUUUCUCAGUAAUUUCGUUUUACCACUGAGUAGUAGACUAUUGUAUGAAUACACCACAAUUUGUUUAUUCACUCACCUAUUAAUGGAUAUCUGGGUUAUUUCCAAGUUUGAGCUAUUUGAAUAAAACUAUUGUGAACAUU